UUGGUCAUAGAUUGUGACAUAAG
This 23-nucleotide small nuclear RNA is filed under the name Arabidopsis thaliana (thale cress). RNAcentral's name for it is "snRNA_16648". Lineage: Eukaryota; Viridiplantae; Streptophyta; Magnoliopsida; Brassicales; Brassicaceae. The record is from RNAcentral.